This 254-nucleotide ribosomal RNA is filed under the name uncultured bacterium. RNAcentral's name for it is "partial 16S ribosomal RNA". It matches the Rfam family "Bacterial small subunit ribosomal RNA", at positions 524 to 776 of the family's 1533-position model. The record is from RNAcentral.
UACGGGGGGAGCAAGCGUUGUUCGGAUUUACUGGGCGUAAAGGGCGCGUAGGCGGCCACCGCAAGUCGACUGUGAAAUCUCCGGGCUUAACCCGGAAAGGUCAGCCGAUACUGCGGGGCUAGAGUGCAGAAGGGGCAACUGGAAUUCUCGGUGUAGCGGUGAAAUGCGUAGAUAUCGAGAGGAACACCUGCGGCGAAGGCGGGUUGCUGGGCUGACACUGACGCUGAUGCGCGAAAGCUAGAGGAGCGAACGGG